This 3542-nucleotide unclassified non-coding RNA is filed under the name Leishmania donovani. RNAcentral describes it as "gene:LdHU3.34.2380(CDS-product:R3H-associated_N-i nal_domain_containing_protein_putative)". Lineage: Eukaryota; Euglenozoa; Kinetoplastea; Trypanosomatida; Trypanosomatidae. The record is from RNAcentral.
UUUCUUCCGCUCCCUGGCAUCGCCUCUCGAGGUUCGGCUGGAAAGCGGCAUCUGUAGGUCAAAGAGAAAAAAGAAGCAAACCGCCAUCUGGAUAGCACACAUUGGGGCCCCAGCUACCUUCACCCACUCCCUCACAUGCAGAGCGCAUCCAGGAACAGUACGCGAGCGUGCGUCCUCUCCUUUGUAGCUCUCGACUCCACCACCACAUCCCCCACCCUUGGGGGGACCCCUCCCACACUCUGACAGGCACCGCAAAAAGCAAGCGAGAGGCCACGCGUACAAUCCAGUCAUCAUAGACGGCCGAGGAGUCACCCUUUGAGAUUCGACACAGCACCUGUGUCUCUUGGCGGAACAGCGAAGCCUGAGCCUCUCUCUCCGUCAAACACGCCACCACAGCCGCACACGCGCGGCCUGCGCCCCCACGGCACGCACGCAUCGUCAUUGGGUGUAGUUCCCCCCCCCCCCGCUUUCUCCCAGCAGGCAAGGACUCCUUUCGCGGAAUGCACACCGCAGACUCCUCCCCGACCGCCCCGCAGCCGACAGAGGCAGGCACGGCAAUGUCUGCGAAAACCACCGCAGCUGAAUCGACGGCGACGGCAACCAUCUCCACGAUGACUGCGCCUGCCGCGACGAAAAAAGGCAGCUCUCCGAAAGGGUUUCAAGUCACACACACAAGCUACCAGCGCGGCAGCACCCCAUUCCGCUCCGCCUCGCCGCCCAUUGCGCCGGCAGCAUUCUCUGGUCCCCGUAACGGCGGUUCUUCAGGGUCGCCAGUGCAGCCCCCACAACCACCCCCGAGUUUCUACGGAGUCACGGCACCGUCGCCGUAUCAACGGCAUCGCUCCUCCUCCUCCUCAUCGGCGCAUUCCGCGACGACGACCAACACGCCACCACUCGGCCCCCGCACAACCGCUGUGCCGCUCAUCACACCGCGCUACCAAAAAAAGAGCCGCACGGCGCGUCACAUGAGCGUGACGGAUAGCUUCCCAACGCAGCAGACGCCGUCGGGCGCGCUGCAGCAGGAGGCGACGGAGCGCAUGACGAUCCAGAACGGGCCGAUGCAGUACGACCAAGAGAUGCACUUUCACACAUAUGACGUGUACCGUCAUGGCAAGCGGCAGAUCCACACCCGCAGCGUGGGCUACAGCAGCGAUGGCGACUUGGUAAUGAUGCGGGAGGACUACUCGGAACCAAGCGACGUGGACAACGGCUUCGUGCUCAAGCGGACAGAGAUCUCGGACCCGGCUGUGCUGGACCCGCGCGCGAGGCGGCCUUUGACGGACAAGGAGCUGCACAGCAAAAAGAAGAUCCAUCUGAACCGCCCGCGGUACAAAAAGUACCCGGGCAUUCGCGCUCCAAAGAACCGAAAGGUGCGGAACCGUCUGCUGAACGACUUCUUCGCACACGAGCUGGCGCGGGAGGUCCUCGUCAAGGCGCAGAAGUGGCGUACGCUGAACCCCGACGAGCCAGAAACAUCGGUAGGACCGUCGUUCGCCGACCUGCCAAAGGCGGUCAUGCACGCGUUUGAUCUCGAAGGAGAGGAGCAGCUGCUGGAGUUCGAGCGACUGCGCGUCCACCCCGACAUGCUGGGGCCGCAGCUGCGCAACGUCCGGGCACCGCCGGACCCCGACUCACCAGAGGGUCGCUUCCAGGGUCUCAACACGCGGCUGCGUGGCGAGUUGCAGCACGCUUUGAACAGCGAGUUCCUCACGCAGCAGAUCGAAGAUCUCGAGGUGCACUUUUCAGCGUUUAUCAAGGAUGGCUCCAAGUCGCCUGAAUCGCUGGUCUUCCACUUUCGCGAUGGCUACGGUCGGCUCAUCUGCCACGGGGUCGCCGCCUAUUACCAGCUUGUGUCCGAGUCCCGUACAGUGAUGGACGGGAGCGGGACAAAGUUGACGUACGUCUCUCUUCCCAAAACGCGCCGUCAAGGCGUUCGCGCCGUCAACCCGCCGCACGUGCCGCUUAUGCUUGUGCUGAAGCGCAACCGCCGCAACCUGCCCGCGAAGCACAGUCUUUCUGCCCAGACGACACCGCAGAUUGCGCCGACGCCGGACAUGGUUGCAUCGCCGCCUGCGCUGGGUCUGGAGGGUGAUAGCACCAGCAAGGAGGCGGGGGUAGACGACGCGGAGGUGAUGUCACCUCUUGACCUCAACGCUCCGGCCAUGCCAAACGUGAGGGCCCAACCGACCAGCCACAGCGGCCUUGUCGGUAGGGGCAAGGCGACAAAUGGGCACGCGACCGGCGCUCAACGGAUAGACAGCGGCGGGAAGAACCCGACCGUAUUUCGCACCGUGCAUCUAAAGCUUCCGACCGCCGACCCACUUCCGUUCUACAUUCCCAUGUUGCGCUUGACGCUCUCGGUGGAACAACAGGAGGAUGCCGUGGAGCAGCUGGAGGCGGCGAGCGCUGGUGUCUCGCCGGACUUGGGGCCGUUCACGCCCCCCUUGACAGCGACCCAGCGAAAGAAGCUCCGAAAGGCGGAGAGGGUGCGCUCCGCCGAUGCUUCACAGGACGACUACUCGACCCGUCGAUGAGUCGCCUCUGCAGCCAGCAUCUUUGCCGCCUCGUGAGCGCCUUUUAGGGGAGGGAAAGGGCGAAGAGUGAAGAAGCACACGUUGUGGUGGACACGUGUGCCGCAUAGGUAGCCGAUGAAGCGAGCCGGGGUAUCCAUGAGGUAUGGGUGACAUUUGUGAUGGGUGAGAGUGUUAAGCCAUUUUUCUUCUCUUCUGUGGCGUGCUUUGCAAGCUGUCGUUGCUGUGUGCGGGCGAGCCGCACGCGGCUUUCAGCGUUGGGCUCCGAUGCGUGGACUGCUCCUCGCGUGCCUCCUUCGUGGGUGCGCUGCUAAUCUGCGAAGGCGAUAAUCAAGGUUCCUUUGCUUCUGUUUGCGCUUGUUACUCUUCCCUGCAUCUUCGGUUUCUCUGAAGGUGCGGGUACCUUUUUUUAAAAGGAGGAGGAGAGGGAUGCCGAGGGGAAUUGCAACAAACACACUACCCCAUGUUGUUGUUGCUAGUCUCCCUGCUUCCUUGAGCCGCGCCCCAUCUCCCCGUCCUCUCUGUUCUUCGUGUUUUUCGUUGUUGGGGGUGGUCUCUUCAUCUGUGUUUGACCUCCCGUACGCCGACAUGGCUGUUUGCACGCGCCUCUGUCUCCGUGUGUGUGUGUGUGUGUGUGUGUGUGUGUGUGUGCCGUGUGUUCGCGUUCUCGUUGCUCUUUGUGAGGUCCUCAUCGCACCUAGACUGAGCAUCGGCUCCUCUUCUUUUUCUCGCUCUCGCUCUCUCCCUCUUCAACGGCGUCGCUGCUUUGCUUAUUCUUUUGUUGCGGUUGCUGCUCUCUGUCUGUCGUGUGGCGUUGAGUUGGCGAUGACAUCUGGUCACUUGCGGGUUGUCCUGGUAUUGUUUUCUGCUUGCCUUCUUUUGGUGUUGCCCUCUGCGCCGCAGCUUGGGGGCACACGCAACGAGGAAAGAACGAAAGCAAGCACUGCCCUCUGUGUGUGUGUUCAAUGACACGGGGCGUGGCAUAUCGAUGCCGCCUGUUCCCACCCUUUC